AUGUUGUUUGCUUAUUUUUCUCGCAUGUCUUGUGAAGUGACAUGCUAUUUAUUGUAUUCAGGUUACAUCGGCUAUGGUUCCUUCCUUUUUAGAAUAGAAUUGCCGACAGAUGAUCACUCAAUCAUGUUCUUAUAUAUGGGGUGCGCAGCAAAUCGUCUUUCACUUGCAUCUCGUCAGUCGGUAAAUCUGCAGUUUUUGAAUGAGAAUACCCUAAAUUUAGAGGACAACUUCGCAAUGGCAAUCAGUUGUGGGACCUUAUUGAAGGACGGGAGGAAAAUGAAUUAUUGCACUAUACAAAAUUGUUAA
This 306-nucleotide ribosomal RNA is filed under the name Triticum aestivum (bread wheat). RNAcentral's name for it is "partial small subunit ribosomal RNA". The record is from RNAcentral. Lineage: Eukaryota; Viridiplantae; Streptophyta; Magnoliopsida; Poales; Poaceae.